Molecule: non-coding RNA, 78 nt
Organism: Schistosoma mansoni
Lineage: Eukaryota; Metazoa; Platyhelminthes; Trematoda; Strigeidida; Schistosomatidae
Source: Rfam
AGAAUUCUGAAUCCGUGUCAAGAUUUUGUCAAACACUAGACCAUCAGGACUGAUGAGACUGUCAAGAUAAGUGACGCA